Molecule: unclassified non-coding RNA, 323 nt
Filed under: Hevea brasiliensis (rubber tree)
Lineage: Eukaryota; Viridiplantae; Streptophyta; Magnoliopsida; Malpighiales; Euphorbiaceae
Source: RNAcentral
AAAUAAAGAUGGAUGUGUUUUGUAAAUUUAGAAUGAGCAAUGGUUCUUCUCAGUUCUCACAAUAAGAUUACACAUCUUGCUUUAGCACUAGUUCAAACCAGCUCCCUAUGGAUGGCUCCUUAAGCACCUGGCUAGCAGGUAUCCAAGCUGGUAGCCACUACUUGGUAAUUGGCAUAAUCUGAUGAACUUCAAAAAAGAUGAAAACCUUUAGCAACAGAAAAUAGACAAGCAUCUAGUGGUUUGUUGUACUACAAGUCAUUCUUAUGUUACAUUUGUAGUCUAAUUUGUCAUGAUCUGUUUUUACUCCUAAUGCUAUUAGUCCA